Octopus sinensis (East Asian common octopus) is the source of this 156-nucleotide long non-coding RNA. RefSeq lists it as uncharacterized. The record is from RefSeq and is a predicted model, not a curated record. The transcript is spliced from 3 exons. NCBI's taxonomy places the organism in Eukaryota, Metazoa, Mollusca, Cephalopoda, Octopoda, Octopodidae.
UUGUUUUUAAAUUAAAAAAGUUAAUAAUACUUAAAUCCAAUAUUUUGCCUUACAUUUUUUUCAUAUUUUACCUCACAACUUUUUUGAUGCAAUUUCUUGUUACAUGGGACCAAAACUAAGAAACUCUUCAUGCUUUCUUCUAUCAUUGAAGCUAAG